This 328-nucleotide ribosomal RNA is filed under the name uncultured eukaryote. RNAcentral's name for it is "partial 18S ribosomal RNA". It matches the Rfam family "Eukaryotic small subunit ribosomal RNA", at positions 1470 to 1796 of the family's 1831-position model. The record is from RNAcentral.
CCCUUAGAUGUCCGGGGCUGCACGCGCGCUACACUGAAGGAAUCAGCGUGCUAAAACCAUUGUCGAAAGGCAUUGGUAAACCCAUUAAAAUCCUACGUGAUUGGAAUCGGGAAUUGCAAUUAUUUCCCUUGAACGAGGAAUUCCCAGUAAGUGUGGGUCAUAAGCUCGCGUUGAUUACGUCCCUGCCCUUUGUACACACCGCCCGUCGCUGCCCGGGACUGAGCCGUUUCGAGAAAAGCGGGGACUGCUGCUGUCGGGGCUUUCGGGCCUUGGCUUCGGUGGAAACCGCUUUAAUCGCAGUGGCUUGAACCGGGCAAAAGUCGUAACA